AGGAGAAGGAGCAGCCCUGCAUGUAAGGAGGACGGAAGCGCGGCAACCAUCUGGACAACUGCUCGCUUAGGGACGUCGGUACAUACUACCAGCGGCGCCGCCAAGUAGCGUCCGUUCACUUUGCCUUCGCCAGUGUGAACUAAGUCUGCUGCUGUUGUUGCAAUUUGGAAAAUGCCGAGGAAGAAAAUAAGGUGCCAAUGCAUGCUGAAAUCACUUCAGAACAAUGAUCAUCCGGGUGGUUGCUUCAUCUGUUGCAAGCUCCUUUCCAUUCCGCAUAACCUAAAUAAAAAAAUUAAGUAAUAAAACAUUUACUAAAUUAUUCAUAGAAAACAAAGCUUGGAUAUCAAGAUGUACUAUACUGGUGGAUAAAACAAUCAACCGUUACACCACAUUGCUAAAAGCUGAGAUCACGGCCCAAACUCAAAAAAUAGAUUAAUCACGUAAACUUACACAUCAAAAUGCAUGUACACACAUGUAUUUUCAUCGAUCUAAGUGCUAGACAGCAGCAUAUAUUGAAAUAUAGAUUGGACAGCACCAUCAAAAUUUAUGGCCAUCACUGAAGAAAAUCAGAUAGCAUAGGAAGGAAAGAGAGCAACCAAACUGAACAAACAUGAAAUAAAAUAUGGCCAUCGUUCACAUCUGAAUCUCCUAUCUAUAUAUCUCUGCUAUAACAUAUACAAGGGGAGUGGGUUAGGAUCUGUACUGGUGCCAUCGUUGCUAGCCUUCGUACAAUCCGCCGUAGCCGCUGCUGGCAUGCCACACGCCCGCCAGCCCGCUGCUACUCCAUGCCGAGAGAGGGAGAGACGAGGGGUUGUCGAGGGAGAGGUGGCCGCAAAGGCAGAGACGCAUGAGUUGUCAUUGCCGGAGCAGAUCGAGAUGGGGCGAGAGUCCAGUGGGCGGCGGCGAUGGAAUUGGGAUAGGGUUCGGG
RNAcentral lists this long non-coding RNA (928 nucleotides) under Hordeum vulgare. RNAcentral's name for it is "long non-coding RNA (HVUL_LNC002885)". The record is from RNAcentral. Lineage: Eukaryota; Viridiplantae; Streptophyta; Magnoliopsida; Poales; Poaceae.